This 893-nucleotide long non-coding RNA is filed under the name Homo sapiens (human). Its description in RNAcentral is "HSALNT0258813". The record is from RNAcentral. Lineage: Eukaryota; Metazoa; Chordata; Mammalia; Primates; Hominidae.
UGCCUGGAAACUCAACACUCUUCCGGUCAAAGGAGGCGACGUGAGGACGGGGAGCAGCACACGGCGUGGGUGGAGGCCUGGCAGUGGCAGAAUUGCUCACAGCGCUCCCCAGUCCAGAAGGCCUCCCCAGCCGGGUGGUGGUACCUGCCCCCCAUGGAGCAGCUGCACUGGAUUGGGGGCACGCAGUCCAUGCCACUGAGCACAAAGCCUGGGUCACACUGGCAGCCAUCCUGGCAUGGUGUCAGGCAGCUGUCGGGCAGGGCAGGCUCGGCACAAGAGCUAGGACAGGAGGAGCCGCAGAGCUCGUAAUUGCUGCGGGGAGGACAGGCCAGCUCUGGAAGAAAACAGACAGGGUCUUGCUCUGUUGCCCAGGCCAAGUGCAAUGGCAUGAUCUCAGCUCACUGCAGCCUCCCGAUUGUUCCGAUGAAACUUUUAACCACGUGGUUUGUUAUGCAUGUCACACCCACAGGCCACUUCAAACUUGCAGCACACAGUGAGCAACUCGGACAAUAUAGGGUCCAGUGCUGGGAGGGUCUCGCUCUGUCACCCAGGAUGCAGUGCAGUGGUGCCAGCAUGGCUCAUGGCAACCUCGAACUCCUGGACUCAAGAGAUUCUCCUGCCGCAGCCUCCAAGUAGCUGAGAAUACAGGUGUGCACCACCACCAGGCCUGGCUAAUUUUUUUUUUUUUUUUUUUAAUAAAGACGAGAUCUUGCUAUGUUGCCCAGACUGGUCUCAAACUCCUUAGCUCAAGUGAUCCUCCUGCCUUGGCCUCCCAAAAUGCUGGGAUGACAGACAAGAACCACCAUGCCCGGCCCGUUCCAUCAUUUCUUAUUGUGGGAACUUGGGCAGAUGCUUCGCCCUUCCAUGCCUCAGUCUUCCCCAUCCGUGAAAGG